GACGAACGCUGGCGGCGUGCUUAACACAUGCAAGUCGAACGGAAAGGCCCUGCUUUUGUGGGGUGCUCGAGUGGCGAACGGGUGAGUAACACGUGAGUAACCUGCCCUUGACUUUGGGAUAACUUCAGGAAACUGGGGCUAAUACCGGAUAGGAGCUCCUGCUGCAUGGUGGGGGUUGGAAAGUUUCGGCGGUUGGGGAUGGACUCGCGGCUUAUCAGCUUGUUGGUGGGGUAGUGGCUUACCAAGGCUUUGACGGGUAGCCGGCCUGAGAGGGUGACCGGCCACAUUGGGACGGAGAGACGGCCCAGACUCCUACGGGAGGCAGCAGUGGGGAAUAUUGCACAAUGGGCGGAAGCCUGAUGCAGCAACGCCGCGUGCGGGAGGACGGCCUUCGGGUGGGAAACCGCUUUCGCCUGUGACGAAGCGUGAGUGACGGUAAUGGGGAAAGAAGCACCGGCUAACUACGG
Molecule: ribosomal RNA, 467 nt
Filed under: uncultured bacterium
Lineage: Bacteria
Description: partial 16S ribosomal RNA
Rfam family: Bacterial small subunit ribosomal RNA
Source: RNAcentral